This 445-nucleotide ribosomal RNA is filed under the name uncultured bacterium. RNAcentral describes it as "partial 16S ribosomal RNA". It matches the Rfam family "Bacterial small subunit ribosomal RNA", at positions 338 to 795 of the family's 1533-position model. The record is from RNAcentral.
CCUACGGGGGGCAGCAGUGAGGAAUUUUGCGCAAUGGCCGCAAGGCUGACGCAGCAACGCCGCGUGGGUGAUGAAGGCCUUCGGGUCGUAAAGCCCUGUCAGGUGGGAAGAAAGGUUUCAAGGAGCAACACUUGGGAUUUGACGGUACCAUCAGAGGAAGCACCGGCUAACUCCGUGCCAGCAGCCGCGGUAAUACGGAAGGUGCGAGCGUUAUUCGGAAUUAGUGGGCGUAGAGCGUGUGAGGUGAGGGCCCUGGGCUUAACCUGGGAAGUGCAGUGGAAACUGUUUUUCUUGAGUACUGGAGAGGAAGGGGGAAUUCCCGGUGUAGAGGUGAAAUUCGUAGAGAUCGGGAGGAAUACCAGUGGCGUAGGCGCCCUUCUGGACGGUAACUGACGCUGAGACGCGAAAGCGUGGGGAGCAAACAGGAUUAGAUACCCUAGUAGUC